This is a transfer RNA of Microbacterium sp. CH12i, 73 nucleotides long. It matches the Rfam family "tRNA". From Rfam's summary of the family: Transfer RNA (tRNA) molecules are approximately 80 nucleotides in length. The record is from Rfam. Lineage: Bacteria; Bacillati; Actinomycetota; Actinomycetes; Micrococcales; Microbacteriaceae.
GGGGCCUUAACUCAGUUGGUAGAGUGCCUGCUUUGCAAGCAGGAUGUCAGGAGUUCGAAUCUCCUAGGCUCCA